GGCAACAUCACAUUGAAACAUCAAUUCCCAUAAGAUCCCCGAAGUUAAGCAAUGUUGAGCAUGGUCAGUACUUCAGUGGGUGACCAGGUG
This is a non-coding RNA of Acanthosepion pharaonis, 90 nucleotides long. NCBI's taxonomy places the organism in Eukaryota, Metazoa, Mollusca, Cephalopoda, Sepiida, Sepiidae. The record is from the annotation of a GenBank genome assembly.